This 1347-nucleotide ribosomal RNA is filed under the name uncultured bacterium. Its description in RNAcentral is "bacterial SSU rRNA". It matches the Rfam family "Bacterial small subunit ribosomal RNA", at positions 28 to 1381 of the family's 1533-position model. The record is from RNAcentral.
GACGAACGCUGGCGGCGUGCUUAACACAUGCAAGUCGAACGAUGAAGCUUGGUGCUUGCACUGGGUGGAUUAGUGGCGAACGGGUGAGUAACACGUGAGUAACCUGCCCUUUACUUCGGGAUAAGCUUGGGAAACUGGGUCUAAUACCGGAUAUUCUGCACGGUCGGAUGGUUGUGUAGGAAAGAUUUUUUGGUAAGGGAUGGGCUCGCGGCCUAUCAGUUUGUUGGUGGGGUGAUGGCCUACCAAGACGACGACGGGUAGCCGGCCUGAGAGGGCGACCGGCCACACUGGGACUGAGACACGGCCCAGACUCCUACGGGAGGCAGCAGUGGGGAAUAUUGCACAAUGGGGGAAACCCUGAUGCAGCGACGCCGCGUGGGGGAUGACGGCCUUCGGGUUGUAAACCUCUUUCAGUAGGGAAGAAGCGAAAGUGACGGUACCUGGAGAAGAAGCACCGGCUAACUACGUGCCAGCAGCCGCGGUAAUACGUAGGGUGCGAGCGUUGUCCGGAAUUACUGGGCGUAAAGAGCUCGUAGGUGGUUUGUCGCGUCGUUUGUGUAAGCCCGCAGCUUAACUGCGGGACUGCAGGCGAUACGGGCAUAACUUGAGUGCUGUAGGGGAGACUGGAAUUCCUGGUGUAGCGGUGGAAUGCGCAGAUAUCAGGAGGAACACCGAUGGCGAAGGCAGGUCUCUGGGCAGUAACUGACGCUGAGGAGCGAAAGCAUGGGUAGCGAACAGGAUUAGAUACCCUGGUAGUCCAUGCCGUAAACGGUGGGCGCUAGGUGUGAGUCCCUUCCACGGGGUUCGUGCCGUAGCUAACGCAUUAAGCGCCCCGCCUGGGGAGUACGGCCGCAAGGCUAAAACUCAAAGGAAUUGACGGGGGCCCGCACAAGCGGCGGAGCAUGUGGAUUAAUUCGAUGCAACGCGAAGAACCUUACCUGGGCUUGACAUACACCAGAUCGCUGCAGAGAUGUAGUUUCCCUUUGUGGUUGGUGUACAGGUGGUGCAUGGUUGUCGUCAGCUCGUGUCGUGAGAUGUUGGGUUAAGUCCCGCAACGAGCGCAACCCUUGUCUUAUGUUGCCAGCACGUUAUGGUGGGGACUCGUGAGAGACUGCCGGGGUUAACUCGGAGGAAGGUGGGGAUGACGUCAAAUCAUCAUGCCCCUUAUGUCCAGGGCUUCACACAUGCUACAAUGGUCGGUACAACGCGUCUGCGAGCCUGUGAGGGUGAGCUAAUCGCUGUAAAGCCGGUCGUAGUUCGGAUUGGGGUCUGCAACUCGACCCCAUGAAGUCGGAGUCGCUAGUAAUCGCAGAUCAGCAACGCUGCGGUGAAUACGUUCCCGGGCCU